CGGGGUGUGGCGCAGCUUGGUAGCGCACUUGCAUGGGGUGCAAGGGGUCGGAGGUUCGAAUCCUCUCACCCCGACCA
RNAcentral lists this transfer RNA (77 nucleotides) under Gammaproteobacteria bacterium. Its description in RNAcentral is "tRNA-Pro". It matches the Rfam family "tRNA". Rfam says of the family: Transfer RNA (tRNA) molecules are approximately 80 nucleotides in length. Lineage: Bacteria; Pseudomonadati; Pseudomonadota; Gammaproteobacteria. The record is from RNAcentral. RNAcentral also lists the same sequence under 1 other name.